Acanthosepion pharaonis is the source of this 97-nucleotide non-coding RNA. NCBI's taxonomy places the organism in Eukaryota, Metazoa, Mollusca, Cephalopoda, Sepiida, Sepiidae. The record is from the annotation of a GenBank genome assembly.
UUGAAACACCAGUUCUUGUACGAUCACUGAAAAUAAGCAAUGUCAAGCCUGGUUAGUACAUAGAUGGGUGACCACUUUGGAAGUUCAGGUGCUGUAA